Alnus glutinosa is the source of this 79-nucleotide small nucleolar RNA. RefSeq annotates it as small nucleolar RNA R21. The record is from RefSeq and is a predicted model, not a curated record. NCBI's taxonomy places the organism in Eukaryota, Viridiplantae, Streptophyta, Magnoliopsida, Fagales, Betulaceae. The transcript has a single exon.
AAUCCCAGUGAAGAAUUUAUAUGAAAUUAGAAGUAAUGGACUCGAUUUUUAUUUGAUGAGCAAUGGAUUCUAAGGGAUU